GAAUUCGCCCUUAGAGUUUGAUCCUGGCUCAGGAUGAACGCUGGCGGCGUGCUUAACACAUGCAAGUCGAGCGAAGCACUUAAGAAAGAUUCUUCGGAUGAAUUCUUUAGUGACUGGGCGGCGGACGGGUGAGUAACGCGUGGAUAACCUGCCACAUACAGGGGGAUAACAGUUAGAAAUGACUGCUAAUACCGCAUAAGCGCACGGUGUUGCAUGGCACAGUGUGAAAAACUCCGGUGGUAUGUGAUGGAUCCGCGUUGGAUUAGGCAGUUGGCGGGGUAACGGCCCACCAAACCGACGAUCCAUAGCCGGCCUGAGAGGGUGAACGGCCACAUUGGGACUGAGACACGGCCCAAACUCCUACGGGAGGCAGCAGUGGGGAAUAUUGCACAAUGGGGGAAACCCUGAUGCAGCGACGCCGCGUGAGUGAAGAAGUAAUUCGUUAUGUAAAGCUCUAUCAGCAGGGAAGAAAAUGACGGUACCUGACUAAGAAGCCCCGGCUAACUACGUGCCAGCAGCCGCGGUAAUACGUAGGGGGCAAGCGUUAUCCGGAUUUACUGGGUGUAAAGGGAGCGUAGACGGCCGUGCAAGUCUGAUGUGAAAGGCUGGGGCUCAACCCCGGGACUGCAUUGGAAACUGUAUGGCUGGAGUGCCGGAGAGGUAAGCGGAAUUCCUAGUGUAGCGGUGAAAUGCCUAGAUAUUAGGAAGAACACCAGUGGCGAAGGCGGCUUACUGGACGGUAACUGACCUUGAGGCUCAAAGCGUGAGGAGCAAACAAGAAUAUAACCCCGGGUAAUCCCCCCCGUAAACCAAGAUUACCAGGGGUUGGGGGAACUUGGUUCCUUCGGGGCCCCCCCCAAACCAUAAAAUAAUCCCACUGGGGGAAUACUUUCCCCAAAUGGAACUCAAAGGAAAUUGACGGGGAACCCCCCCCACGGGUUGGAACCUGGGGUUUUAAUU
Molecule: ribosomal RNA, 960 nt
Filed under: uncultured bacterium
Lineage: Bacteria
Description: bacterial SSU rRNA
Rfam family: Bacterial small subunit ribosomal RNA
Source: RNAcentral